GACGAACGCUGGCGGCGUGCUUGACACAUGCAAGUCGAACGGAAAGGCCUGCUUUCCCUUGUGGAUUGCGGGUACUCGAGUGGCGAACGGGUGAGUAACACGUGAGUGAUCUGCCCCCAACUUGGGUAUAAGCCUGGGAAACUGGGUCUAAUUCCCGAUAGGACUGCAGGGUGGUGCCUGUGGUGGAAAACGAUUUUCUAGUGGUUGGGGAUGAGCUCGCGGCCUAUCAGCUUGUUGGUGGGAUAAUGGCCUACCAAGGCGGCGACGGGUAGCCGGCCUGGGAGGGUGGACGGGCACUUUGGGACUGAGAUACGGCCCAGACUCCUACGGGAGGAAGCAGUGGGGAAUAUUGCACAAUGGGCGGAAGCCUGAUGCAGCGACGCCGCGUGGGGGAUGACGGCCUUCGGGUUGUAAACUCCUUUCGACCGCGAGGAAGCCACCUGGUUGGAAGGGUGGUGACGGUAGUGGUAGAAGAAGCACCGGCUAACUACGUG
Molecule: ribosomal RNA, 494 nt
Filed under: uncultured bacterium
Lineage: Bacteria
Description: partial 16S ribosomal RNA
Rfam family: Bacterial small subunit ribosomal RNA
Source: RNAcentral